UUGAGAGGGUUCGGCCCUCAGCAGACUGCUCAGUAACACGUGGAUAAUCUACCCUUAGGUGGAGGAUAAUCUCGGGAAACUGAGGAUAAUACUCCAUAGAUCUAGGAGGCUGGAAUGCAUCUAGGUUAAAAGCUCCGGCGCCUAAGGAUGAAUCUGCGGACUAUCAGGUUGUAGUCAGGGUAAUGACCUGACUAGCCUAUGACGGAUACGGGUUGUGAGAGCAAUAACCCGGAGACGAUAUCUGAGACACGAUAUCGGGCCCUACGGGGCGCAGCAGGCGCGAAAACUUCACAAUGUGCGAAAGCACGAUGAGGGAAUCCCAAGUGCCAGCUCGUAAGAGUUGGCUGUUUCUUUGUCUAAAAAACAUAGAGAGUAAGAGCUGGGUAAGACGGGUGCCAGCCGCCGCGGUAAUACCUGCAGCUCAAGUGGUGAUCGUUAUUAUUGGGCCUAAAACGUUCGUAGCCGGUUUAGUAAAUGCCUGGGUAAAUCGUGUAGCUUAACUAUACGAAUUCCGGGUAGACUGCUAAACUUGAGAUCGGGAGAGGCUAGAGGUACUCCUGGGGUAGAGGUGAAAUUCUGUAAUCCUAGGGGGACCAUCAGUGGCGAAGGCGUCUAGCUAGAACGUGUCUGACGGUGAGGAACGAAGCCCUGGGGCGCGAACCGGAUUAGAUACCCGGGUAGUCCAGGGUGUAAACGCUGCUCGCUUGAUGUUAGUUGGGCUCCGAGCCCAACUAGUGU
This 738-nucleotide ribosomal RNA is filed under the name uncultured archaeon. RNAcentral's name for it is "bacterial SSU rRNA". It matches the Rfam family "Archaeal small subunit ribosomal RNA", at positions 58 to 801 of the family's 1478-position model. The record is from RNAcentral.